Molecule: ribosomal RNA, 1247 nt
Filed under: Little peach phytoplasma
Lineage: Bacteria; Bacillati; Mycoplasmatota; Mollicutes; Acholeplasmatales; Acholeplasmataceae
Description: bacterial SSU rRNA
Rfam family: Bacterial small subunit ribosomal RNA
Source: RNAcentral
GAAACGACUGCUAAGACUGGAUAGGAAAAGUAAAGGCAUCUUUACUUUUUUAAAAGAUCUUCUUUGAAGGUAUGCUUAAGGAGGGGCUUGCGACACAUUAGUUAGUUGGUAGGGUAAAGGCCUACCAAGACUAUGAUGUGUAGCUGGACUGAGAGGUUGAACAGCCACAUUGGGACUGAGACACGGCCCAAACUCCUACGGGAGGCAGCAGUAGGGAAUUUUCGGCAAUGGAGGAAACUCUGACCGAGCAACGCCGCGUGAACGAUGAAGUACCUCGGUAUGUAAAGUUCUUUUAUUAAGGAAGAAAAAAGAGUGGAAAAACUCCCUUGACGGUACUUAAUGAAUAAGCCCCGGCUAAUUAUGUGCCAACAGCCGCGGUAAUACAUAAGGGGCGAGCGUUAUCCGGAAUUAUUGGGCGUAAAGGGUGCGUAGGCGGUUUAAUAAGUCUAUAGUUUAAUUUCAGUGCUUAACGCUGUUGUGCUAUAAAAACUGUUUUACUAGAGUGAGAUAGAGGCAAGCGGAAUUCCAUGUGUAGCGGUAAAAUGCGUAAAUAUAUGGAGGAACACCAGAGGCGUAGGCGGCUUGCUGGGUCUUUACUGACGCUGAGGCACGAAAGCGUGGGGAGCAAACAGGAUUAGAUACCCUGGUAGUCCACGCCGUAAACGAUGAGUACUAAGUGUCGGGUAAAACUGGUACUGAAGUUAACACAUUAAGUACUCCGCCUGAGUAGUACGUACGCAAGUAUGAAACUUAAAGGAAUUGACGGGACUCCGCACAAGCGGUGGAUCAUGUUGUUUAAUUCGAAGAUACAUGAAAAACCUUACCAGGUCUUGACAUUUUCUUGCGAAGUUAUAGAAAUAUAAUGGAGGUCAUCAGGAAAACAGGUGGUGCAUGGUUGUCGUCAGCUCGUGUCGUGAGAUGUUAGGUUAAGUCCUAAAACGAGCGCAACCCUUGUCGUUAGUUGCCAGCAUGUAAUGAUGGGGACUUUAACGAGACUGCCAAUGAAAAAUUGGAGGAAGGUGGGGACUACGUCAAAUCAUCAUGCCCCUUAUGAUCUGGGCUACAAACGUGAUACAAUGGUUGAUACAAAGAGUAGCUGAAACGCGAGUUCUUAGCCAAUCUCAAAAAAUCAAUCUCAGUUCGGAUUGAAGUCUGCAACUCGACUUCAUGAAGUUGGAAUCGCUAGUAAUCGCGAAUCAGCAUGUCGCGGUGAAUACGUUCUCGGGGUUUGUACACACCGCCCGUCA